UACGAGGGGGGCUAGCGUUGUUCGGAUUUACUGGGCGUAAAGCGCACGUAGGCGGAUCGUUAAGUCGGGGGUGAAAUCCUGGAGCUCAACUCCAGAACUGCCUUCGAUACUGGCGAUCUUGAGUCCGGAAGAGGUGAGUGGAACUCCUAGUGUAGAGGUGGAAUUCGUAGAUAUUAGGAAGAACACCAGUGGCGAAGGCGGCUCACUGGUCCGGUACUGACGCUGAGGUGCGAAAGCGUGGGGAGCAAACAGG
This 253-nucleotide ribosomal RNA is filed under the name uncultured bacterium. RNAcentral describes it as "partial 16S ribosomal RNA". It matches the Rfam family "Bacterial small subunit ribosomal RNA", at positions 524 to 776 of the family's 1533-position model. The record is from RNAcentral.